This is a long non-coding RNA of Homo sapiens (human), 502 nucleotides long. The record is from Ensembl. NCBI's taxonomy places the organism in Eukaryota, Metazoa, Chordata, Mammalia, Primates, Hominidae.
GACGGCCCGAGCCGGCACGGACGGCCCCAGGAGAUUCGUCACGGAAACCUCGCCCCACCAAGGCGGCCCCUAAAGACAAAACGGCCCGCCCGAGGCUUAUAGGUGGAAGGGACUUGCCUUGUCUCAGGUGAUGUCUGAUGACCCUGACCUGUCUUCAGGAAAAAUCCUGUUAGAUCAGGUCCCUGCUGAAGAUGAGGAGGAAGAAUUACUGGUGAAAACCUGAAGUUUGAAAAAGUAAAUCCAAAUUGCUCUUUUGUCUAGUGUUUUGGGAAACAAGGAAGAGGGAAUGAAAUCUCUGUUUUAAAAUUUUAUUAUUUCUGUUAUUGCACAUUCACAAUUCACUAUAUUUCAUGCAUUCUUUAAAGAUCUAAUUUUUUUAAUUGGAUAUUGAAUAUCUACAAUGUGAUAACUAUAAAACACCUGUAAAACUUAAAUAACAAUACCAUGAUACCUAUAUAUUCAAUAUCUAGUUUAAGCAUAGGCUAUUAUUACCAUAACUUCG